RNAcentral lists this long non-coding RNA (239 nucleotides) under Phoenix dactylifera (date palm). RNAcentral describes it as "long non-coding RNA (PDAC_LNC008884)". The record is from RNAcentral. Lineage: Eukaryota; Viridiplantae; Streptophyta; Magnoliopsida; Arecales; Arecaceae.
AAAUUGAUUCCGAAUUGUGAAAUAAUUUCUUUUGUAAAUUGAUUUCAUUUUCUCUAUUUCAAAGAUUUGUAGAGCCUUUUUAGUGGUAUAUUGAGUUGUAUUGCACUUUCUUGACCCUCACUCCUAACCCUGAUGUUAGUUUAUGAUUGGGUCAUGAUCAAGUGAGUGGUAGUCUUGAUUAUACUCCAUUUUAGUAGAGUAUUGGGAGGGUGCAUUAUGGCAUUUAUGCAUGGCUUGGC